RNAcentral lists this long non-coding RNA (1248 nucleotides) under Ananas comosus (pineapple). RNAcentral describes it as "long non-coding RNA (ACOM_LNC011192)". Lineage: Eukaryota; Viridiplantae; Streptophyta; Magnoliopsida; Poales; Bromeliaceae. The record is from RNAcentral.
UCCAACCAGAUAUACUCAAGACCGACACUCUCUAGCGUAAGCGGCAAAGGACUUGAUGUUUCGUUUCCAAGAUUUCAAGUUCGAAUUAUAAUUGAUUUACAUUUUUAACUAAAUUUAUUUCUAAAAAAAUAAACGAAACAAAUAGUAUACUAUAUAUCUUUCUUUUAAAUUUAUUCCUAAGAACUUUAUAUACCCUAAAUCAUAUUUAACGGUGUGGAUCGUUAAUUUGAACACCCUAAUAUCGAAAACAAGACUAUAGUACCGAAGCUCCGGUAUUAUAGAUAGUAUAAUAGCCUAAUUCUAUAUAUAUAAAGAGAGAGAGAGAGAGAGAGAGAGAGAGAGAAAGAGUUCGGCUAGGAUAGCACCAAGGGCUUGGUGCUAUCAAGUUUCUACUAUUAGAUUUAAUUUUUUGAUUAUUUUUAUCCGUUAGAUUUUACUAUUCAACCAACCACCCACUCAUCUCUAGGGGGCCCACAUCAUCUGAACCGCACAUUUCUCAUUCCAAUGGCUAAAAAACUAAUAGCAUUAAUAGCUUGAUGCUAUUGAUAGUAUUCCAGUCUAGUUCUCUAUAUAUAUGUAGUAGGUCUUGUGUGCUGUUAGGAGUAAGGAGGCAUCUGUGCUCCUAAGUUGUUUUUGAUGAUGGAGCUUCCGAAUCGACGAUCAGCUCUGUUGGAUUUGAUCUAGCGUAUUUGAACUAUUUAGAAAAUAAAUUUUGUGAUUUUUCGGUAUCAUUUACCUAUCGAUCAAAAGGGUUUAAAAUCUACAAUUUUUAAUGAUUGAUGUAUAGUAUUUGCAAAUUUAACUGUGUAUAAGUAUUCAAAUCAGAUAAAAUUUAAUAGAAAAUUCUUUAUACUAUUUACAGCAUGAUCAAUAUAUCUGAUCGAAAAUAUUAAUACUAUAUUAUUACUUUUUGUGAGAUUUUUAUUUUCAACUGUUGAUUUUGAACUCUUUUGAUUGCUAGGUAAAAGAUAUCGUAAAAUUGUAAAAUUUAUUUUCUAGAUAGUUCAAAUACGCUAAAUCAUAUCUAAUAGAGCUGAUCAUGAAUUCGAAAGUUUCAUUAUCGAAAACGGCUUAGGAGCACGAAAGACAUAUAUAUAUAUAUAUAUAUAGAAUUAGGCUGGAAUACUAUUAAUAGUAAAACACUCUUUUUGCUAUAUAUAGAAUUAGGUUGGAAUACUAUUAAUAGUAAAACACUCUUUUUGCUAUCAAGUUUUUAACCCUUGGAUGAAAAAUUGUAGGGUCAGGAUA